ACGCUCGACACCUACGGAGGCAGCAGUAGGGAAUCUUCCACAAUGGGCGCAAGCCUGAUGGAGCAACACCGCGUGAGUGAAGAAGGGUUUCGGCUCGUAAAGCUCUGUUGUUGGAGAAGAACGUGCGUGAGAGUAACUGUUCACGCAGUGACGGUAUCCAACCAGAAAGUCACGGCUAACUACGUGCCAGCACGUCGGACGGUAAUCUGACGGGCCGGGCGUGGACGAACGGC
Molecule: ribosomal RNA, 233 nt
Filed under: uncultured bacterium
Lineage: Bacteria
Description: partial 16S ribosomal RNA
Rfam family: Bacterial small subunit ribosomal RNA
Source: RNAcentral